UAAAGAAUCUUCCGCAAUGGGCGCAAGCCUGACGGAGCAACACUGCGUGGAGGAUGAAGGCUUUCGGGUCGUAAACUCCUUUUCUGGGGGAAGAAGUUCUGACGGUACCCCAGGAAUAAGCGACGGCAAACUACGUGCCAGCAGCCGCGGUAAUACGUAGGUCGCGAGCGUUAUCCGGAAUCAUUGGGCGUAAAGCGUCCGUAUGCGGUUUUGUAAAUCCGUGGUUAAAUCCCAGGGCUCAACCCUGGAAUCGUCAUGGAAACUGCAAGACUUGAGGUGUGCAGAGGCAGAUGGAAUUUCGGAAGUAGGGGUAAAAUCCGUAGAUCUCCGAAGGAACACCAAACGCGAAGGCAUUCUGCUGGGCACAAUCUGACGCUGAGGGACGAAAGCGUGGGGAGCAAACAGGAUUAGAUACCCCGGUAGUCC
RNAcentral lists this ribosomal RNA (426 nucleotides) under uncultured bacterium. Its description in RNAcentral is "bacterial SSU rRNA". It matches the Rfam family "Bacterial small subunit ribosomal RNA", at positions 355 to 796 of the family's 1533-position model. The record is from RNAcentral.